Molecule: ribosomal RNA, 565 nt
Filed under: Neomicrosphaeropsis italica
Lineage: Eukaryota; Fungi; Ascomycota; Dothideomycetes; Pleosporales; Didymellaceae
Description: eukaryotic LSU rRNA
Rfam family: 5.8S ribosomal RNA (bases 185-338)
Source: RNAcentral
AAAACGUAACAAGGUUUCCGUAGGUGAACCUGCGGAAGGAUCAUUACCUAGAGUUGUAGGCUUUGCCUACCAUCUCUUACCCAUGUCUUUUGAGUACUUACGUUUCCUCGGUGGGUUCGCCCGCCGAUUGGACAAUUUAAACCAUUUGCAGUUGCAAUCAGCGUCUGAAAAACAUAAUAGUUACAACUUUCAACAACGGAUCUCUUGGUUCUGGCAUCGAUGAAGAACGCAGCGAAAUGCGAUAAGUAGUGUGAAUUGCAGAAUUCAGUGAAUCAUCGAAUCUUUGAACGCACAUUGCGCCCCUUGGUAUUCCAUGGGGCAUGCCUGUUCGAGCGUCAUUUGUACCUUCAAGCUUUGCUUGGUGUUGGGUGUUUGUCUCGCCUUUGCGUGUAGACUCGCCUUAAAACAAUUGGCAGCCGGCGUAUUGAUUUCGGAGCGCAGUACAUCUCGCGCUUUGCACUCAUAACGACGACGUCCAAAAGUACAUUUUUACACUCUUGACCUCGGAUCAGGUAGGGAUACCCGCUGAACUUAAGCAUAUCAAAACCGGGAGGAACAUUUUCCC